GCCAUGAAUGGUGAUAUAUAC
Molecule: non-coding RNA, 21 nt
Filed under: Arabidopsis thaliana (thale cress)
Lineage: Eukaryota; Viridiplantae; Streptophyta; Magnoliopsida; Brassicales; Brassicaceae
Source: RNAcentral